RNAcentral lists this unclassified non-coding RNA (223 nucleotides) under plant metagenome. RNAcentral describes it as "partial contains small subunit ribosomal RNA, internal transcribed spacer 1, and 5.8S ribosomal RNA". The record is from RNAcentral.
UCUCCGUUGGUGAACCAGCGGAGGGAUCAUUACCGAGUUAUCAACUCCCAAACCCUUGUGGACAUACACCACGUUGCUCCGGCGCGACCGCCCUGGCGCCCCCGGCGCCCCGUAACCAGGAGCCCGUCGGAGCACCCAAGCGCUUGUUUAAACCAUCGUGGCAUAUUCUGUGUGUGUCAAUAAAAAAGAAUCAAAACUUUCAACAACGGAUCUCUUGGCUCUG